Molecule: long non-coding RNA, 1154 nt
Organism: Oncorhynchus gorbuscha (pink salmon)
Lineage: Eukaryota; Metazoa; Chordata; Actinopteri; Salmoniformes; Salmonidae
Exons: 3
Source: RefSeq, a predicted model, not a curated record
CAGUGGAGUAAUAGGCGAGUUUCGUCAGAGAGCCACCUGUGGGAGGAACAAAAAGGUUUCUGCAGUCUCACGUGAGAUAAAUAAAUCCAUCAGUCAACUAUUGACAACUCAGCCACUCUGGCGCAGCGGUCAAAUUAGCUGGUUAGUUAGCUAGUUAGCAAUUUUAGAAACCUGUAGCUUACUAGCCCAUAAACAAACGCUAAUUAGCCAGCUAACAUUUAUGUGGCGAAGGUAACUUCGCAACUACUGGUAGCUAACUACAGUACUUAAAUCAGCUAGUUUAGCUAGCCAGCCACACGUCGUUGCUUGCUAGCCUCUUGUGUGCCUGCUGUGUUGUCAAAGUAACAAGACAAGUGAAUAUAUUCAAGUAGCGAUCUAAAUAUUAACUUAGUUUAUACCUAUGUCUAUUGCGAACCUCUUUGCAUUUUCCAAAUUCCUGAAGAUCUCAUUGGGUGGAAGAGUUAUGCUUUUAUCCAUGCUGUGACUACUCCUGUCUACUCUCUCACUUUCCGCCGCCAUCUUGUGUUGCGCAAUGACGUUCAGGUACAAAUAAAUAAUAAUCCCUCAAUGGAAAAAUCUCUGGGGCGUUCAGGAGGACGCCACGUUUUGGAACGUUCAGACAUGUAGAACAAUGAAUUGGUUCUAUUCAAGGGAUUUCUAUCUGCAACGUUCGAUAACGUUUGGCAACUGAACAUGGCCCCGGAUUUCUGUGAUAAUGUGGCAGCAGAUCUGGGAGUCACCACUUUCCCAGAUUCACACAGCGCUCUGUGAGUGACUCUCCAUCACCCUACACCCCUCCACCUGUUCCCCUGAGAUGUGACCAUUGUCCCCCAGCAAUAAGAACACUGAGCAUGUGGCAGCUCCACAUUCCUCGUUGUCCUCCCAAGCUCACCCAUUGGCUACAGACUGUGAGAUUCUCCUACAAGCCCAAGACACACACAUUCAUAUGCAGAUUUGGGACUAUAUAUAGGAGAUGAAGCCAGUAGAAAUCUGAUUAUCUCUACACAAAGACCUCUACAACACAUAGAUCCAGCCACGACACCUUCAAUCACUUCAGCAAUGAUCUACUCUAAGGAGCACCUGACUCUGACCAACCAGGAAACAGCAGAGGGAACAUCCCCCUAUCCACAUCGAUGGGACAGUAGUGGAGAGGG